Non-coding RNA from Pelobates cultripes (western spadefoot toad), 324 nucleotides. Lineage: Eukaryota; Metazoa; Chordata; Amphibia; Anura; Pelobatidae. The record is from the annotation of a GenBank genome assembly.
GCUUAAUUCAUUUUAUUCUCGAGUUUCGAGUGUUUGGGUUUUUUUUUUUUUUUAGUACAAAACAUUACCCCUUUUCUUGGGCAUCCCCCGUGUUUUUUGCCUCUGGCUUUUCUGUAGAACAAUACAAAUGUAUAUUAUUCUGUUAGAUGUAUUACUGGUAGCAUUUUUUUGCUACAGAAUACAGUUCUUAUUGCAAGCACUUGGACGUUUGUGGGAGAGGUCCUUUAUUCAUGCCUACCUGGAGAGCUAACGAGGGGACGCCUGGUAAGACAGAUAUACAUUACAAGCUUACACGAGAGUCUAUCAAGAAUGUAUUUUUUUUUU